UUAACAGAGGUGUUACAAACUCCCAAAGACCAGCCAGAUCGCCGAGAGAGGAAAGAGAUGACAACGAAAAGAGUCGCAGUUCAUUGAGACCAAGAGAAACGUAAAGAAGAGAGGAAAGAGAAAACAAUGAUGUGAGAUCAAGAGGAAGACCGAGAGGAGAAGACCAGAGAUCAGGUAGUCAUGGACAGAGAAAAUCAGACCUCUCAGAGACGUCAAAGCACACAGAGCAGAAGCACACGUGAUGAAGAACAAGCAGACCACUGGAGUUUGAGUUCAAUCAGACCAAGACUGAGAAGAGAGGACAGAGAACAAG
Molecule: long non-coding RNA, 313 nt
Organism: Sinocyclocheilus rhinocerous
Lineage: Eukaryota; Metazoa; Chordata; Actinopteri; Cypriniformes; Cyprinidae
Exons: 5
Source: RefSeq, a predicted model, not a curated record